RNAcentral lists this ribosomal RNA (242 nucleotides) under uncultured Staphylococcus sp. RNAcentral's name for it is "partial 16S ribosomal RNA". It matches the Rfam family "Bacterial small subunit ribosomal RNA", at positions 99 to 334 of the family's 1533-position model. The record is from RNAcentral. Lineage: Bacteria; Bacillati; Bacillota; Bacilli; Caryophanales; Staphylococcaceae.
CGGACGGGUGAGUAACACGUGGAUAACCUACCUAUAAGACUGGGAUAACUUCGGGAAACCGGAGCUAAUACCGGAUAAUAUAUUGAACCGCAUGGUUCAAGUAGUGAAAGACGGUUUUGCUGUCACUUAUAGAUGGAUCCGCGCCGCAUUAGCUAGUUGGUAAGGUAACGGCUUACCAAGGCAACGAUGCGUAGCCGACCUGAGAGGGUGAUCGGCCACACUGGAACUGAGACACGGUCCAG